RNAcentral lists this ribosomal RNA (367 nucleotides) under uncultured bacterium. Its description in RNAcentral is "bacterial SSU rRNA". It matches the Rfam family "Bacterial small subunit ribosomal RNA", at positions 28 to 395 of the family's 1533-position model. The record is from RNAcentral.
AUUGAACGCUGGCGGCAUGCUUUACACAUGCAAGUCGAGCGGCAGCGCGGGGGGCAACCCCUGGCGGCGAGCGGCGAACGGGUGAGGAAACCAUCGGAACGUGCCCGAGAGUGGGGGAUAACGCCGCGAAAGCGGCGCUAAUACCGCAUAUUCUCUGAGGAGGAAAGUGGGGGACCGCAAGGCCUCACGCUCCCGGAGCGGCCGAUGUCGGAUUAGCUAGUUGGUGGGGUAAAGUCUACCAAGGCGACGAUCCGUAGCUGGUCUGAGAGGAUGAUCAGCCACACUGGGACUGAGACACGGCCCAGACUCCUACGGGAGGCAGGCAGUGGGGAAUUUUGGACAAUGGGGGCAACCCUGAUCCAGCCAU